GACGAACGCUGGCGGCGUGCCUAAUACAUGCAAGUCGAGCGAGUCUGCCUUGAAGACUGGAGUUCUUGCAUUCUGAGUAACAAGCUACAGGCUAGCGGCGGACGGUUGACUAUUACGUGGGUAAUCUGCUCAAGAGACUGGCACAACACCUGCAUACAACCUCUAAUACCGGAUAACAACAGUUGAUGCCUAUCAACUGUUUAUAAGACGGUGUUGCUUUCACUCUUGGAUGGACCAGCGGUGCAUUAGCUAGUUGGUGGGGUAACGGCCUACCAAGGCGACGAUGCAUAGCCGAGUUGAGAGGAUGAUCAGCCACAUUGGAACUGAGACACGGCCCAGACUCCUACGGGAGGCAGCAGUGGGGAAUAUUGGACAAUGGGCGCAAGUCUGAUGCAGCCACACCGCGUGAGUGAAGAAGGCUUUCGGGUCGUAAAGCCCUGUUGUUGGUAAAGAAAGGCAGCAGUAGAAACUGACGCUGGUUUGACGGUAAUCAAUUAGAAAGUACCGGCUAACUAAGUG
RNAcentral lists this ribosomal RNA (519 nucleotides) under uncultured bacterium. RNAcentral describes it as "partial 16S ribosomal RNA". It matches the Rfam family "Bacterial small subunit ribosomal RNA", at positions 28 to 507 of the family's 1533-position model. The record is from RNAcentral.